Long non-coding RNA from Sphaerodactylus townsendi, 631 nucleotides. RefSeq lists it as uncharacterized. The record is from RefSeq and is a predicted model, not a curated record. Lineage: Eukaryota; Metazoa; Chordata; Lepidosauria; Squamata; Sphaerodactylidae. The transcript is spliced from 3 exons.
CUACAGGAGAGUGUGUUCCCGUCAUGCACAGCGCCGUCUCCCAGCAACGCAACACAAACAUAGCAAAAAGAGGGAGUCGUUUAACCGUGCGGAUCGGGGGUGGGGGGCAGCUCGCUGGAGCAAAAGGGAUGACUGAGAGAGUCCCCCCCUCCUCACAUCUUGGCAGAGUGGAUGGACAAGUUGCUUUGGGAUUAAAAGGGCCUUUGAUUUUCAAUAUACAAAUUUAACAAAAAGCUGUGCUGCAUGGAAAAAUGUUACGAUUCCAGGAAGUUGUCAAGCACGGCCCUUCUUUCACUGCCAUUCCUACCUGCUCAAAGGCAUUGAUUGCGGGAAGAUACACUGUUCAGCAGAAACUUGGCCGGGGAAGCUUUGGAACUGUCUACUUGGUUUCAGACAAAAAAGCAAAAGAAGAACAGUUACUCUUUCUCUUCUGGAAUAAUUUCACAAAUUAGAAUGGACAUCUGAAUAAGCCAGUCUCCUUUGCAAAAGCUACUUCUGCUGAGAGAAGAAAUGUCUGCAGUCUGAGGGUUUGGCGUCCCCAUUUGCUGGCAGGGAUAGACCAAGGGCCUUGAGCUGUGGAGGCCUACGAGUUUGUGGCCAGAUAUUGUUGCCAGGUCACAAGUGCUGAAUG